RNAcentral lists this ribosomal RNA (672 nucleotides) under uncultured bacterium. Its description in RNAcentral is "bacterial SSU rRNA". It matches the Rfam family "Bacterial small subunit ribosomal RNA", at positions 62 to 766 of the family's 1533-position model. The record is from RNAcentral.
CNGAGCGCCUCUCUUCGGAGAGGAGCGGCGAACGGGUGAGUAACNNNNNNNNUAUCUGCCUCGGGGUGAGGGACAACUGAUGGAAACGUCAGCUAAUACCACAUAUGGCCUACGGGUCAAAGGCUUCGGCCGCCCUGAGAUGAGCCUGCGUCUCAUUAUUUAAUCCUAGUUGGUGGGGUAAUGGCCUACCAAGGGUACGAUGGGUAGCUGGUUUGAGAGAAUGAUCAGCCACACUGGGACUGAGACACGGCCCAGACUCCUACGGGAGGCAGCAGUGGGGAAUAUUGCGCAAUGGGCGAAAGCCUGACGCAGCCACGCCGCGUGAGUGAUGAAGGCCCGAGGGUCGUAAAGCUCUGUCUGGAGGGAAGAAAAAAAUGACGGUACCUCCAAAGAAAGCACCGGCUAACUCCGUGCCAGCAGCCGCGGUAAUACGGAGGGUGCAAGCGUUGCUCGGAAUCACUGGGCGUAAAGCGUACGCAGGCGGCUUGUAAAGUCGGAUGUGAAAGCCCGGGGCUCAACCCCGGAACUGCAUUCGAAACUCACAGGCUUGAGUACUGGAGAGGGAAGCGGAAUUCCUGGUGUAGAGGUGAAAUUCGUAGAUAUCAGGAGGAACACCCGUGGCGAAAGCGGCUUCCUGGCCAGAUACUGACGCUCAUGUACNAAAGCGUGGGG